RNAcentral lists this long non-coding RNA (247 nucleotides) under Elaeis guineensis (African oil palm). RNAcentral's name for it is "long non-coding RNA (EGUI_LNC019100)". Lineage: Eukaryota; Viridiplantae; Streptophyta; Magnoliopsida; Arecales; Arecaceae. The record is from RNAcentral.
CCCAGGCCCGGGCGAGUGUAUGCGGGCACGGCCUAGGCCCAGGUGGGCGUGUGCAAGUGCAGCCCGUACGGUUCUCCCACGUGGUCCACGUGUGGUGCAUGGACCGGCGGUCCAUGGAGACUCGCAUGGAUCGGAUGGACGUUUUCCCUUGAUUUCACACGGUCCACCAUGGAUCGAAGGACGUUUCGGGCUGGUUUCUCGCGGUCUAUUGGGGUUUUCAUGGACCAGACAUGCGAUUGGACGGCCC